CCUACGGGAGGCAGCAGUGGGGAAUAUUGCACAAUGGGGGAAACCCUGAUGCAGCGACGCCGCGUGAGUGAAGAAGUAAUUCGUUAUGUAAAGCUCUAUCAGCAGGGAAGAAAAUGACGGUACCUGAGUAAGCAGCCCCGGCUAACUACGUGCCAGCAGCCGCGGUAAUACGUAGGGGGCAAGCGUUAUCCGGAUUUACUGGGUGUAAAGGGAGCGUAGACGGCAGUGCAAGUCUGGAGUGAAAGGCGGGGGGUCAACCCCCGGACUGCUCUGGAAACUGUACGGCGGGAGUGCAGGAGAGGUAAGUGGAAAUCCUAGGGGAGCCGUGAAAUGCGUAGAUAUUAGGAGGAACACCAGUGGCGAAGGCGGCUUACUGGACUGUAACUGACGUUGAGGCUCGAAAGCGUGGGGAGCAAACAGGAUUAGAUACCCGGGUAGUC
Molecule: ribosomal RNA, 440 nt
Filed under: uncultured bacterium
Lineage: Bacteria
Description: partial 16S ribosomal RNA
Rfam family: Bacterial small subunit ribosomal RNA
Source: RNAcentral